RNAcentral lists this ribosomal RNA (200 nucleotides) under uncultured bacterium. RNAcentral's name for it is "partial 16S ribosomal RNA". It matches the Rfam family "Bacterial small subunit ribosomal RNA", at positions 30 to 233 of the family's 1533-position model. The record is from RNAcentral.
AUUGAACGCUGGCGGCAUGCCUAGCACAUGCAAGUCGAACGCGAAAGGGGGCAACCCUGAGUAGAGUGGCGGACGGGUGAGGAACGCAUCGGAAUUUACCUCGAGAUGGGGGAUAACCAAGGGAAACUUUGGCUAAUACCGCAUGAUCUCGCGAGAGCAAAGAGGGGGACCGCAAGGCCUCUUGUCUUGAGAUGAGCCGA